CACGUAGGGGGCAAGCGUUGUCCGGAUUUAUUGGGCGUAAAGAGCUCGUAGGCGGUUCGGUAAGUCGGGUGUGAAACCUCCAGGCUCAACCUGGAGACGCCACCCGAUACUGCUGUGACUAGAGUCCAGUAGGGGAGCGUGGAAUUCCUGGUGUAGCGGUGAAAUGCGCAGAUAUCAGGAGGAACACCAGUGGCGAAGGCGGCGCUCUGGGCUGGAACUGACGCUGAGGAGCGAAAGCGUGGGGAGCGAACAGGAUUAGAAACCCCGGUAGUCC
RNAcentral lists this ribosomal RNA (274 nucleotides) under uncultured bacterium. RNAcentral describes it as "partial 16S ribosomal RNA". It matches the Rfam family "Bacterial small subunit ribosomal RNA", at positions 524 to 796 of the family's 1533-position model. The record is from RNAcentral.